Molecule: ribosomal RNA, 500 nt
Filed under: uncultured bacterium
Lineage: Bacteria
Description: bacterial SSU rRNA
Rfam family: Bacterial small subunit ribosomal RNA
Source: RNAcentral
AUUGAACGCUGGCGGCAUGCUUUACACAUGCAAGUCGAACGGUAACAGGGACUUCGGUCUGCUGACGAGUGGCGAACGGGUGAGUAACAUAUCGGAACGUGCCCAGUAAUGGGGGAUAGCUCGGCGAAAGCCGGAUUAAUACCGCAUACGCCCUGAGGGGGAAAGUGGGGGAUCUUCGGACCUCACGUUAUUGGAGCGGCCGAUAUCGGAUUAGCUAGUUGGUGGGGUAAAGGCCUACCAAGGCGACGAUCCGUAGCUGGUCUGAGAGGAUGAUCAGCCACACUGGGACUGAGACACGGCCCAGACUCCUACGGGAGGCAGCAGUGGGGAAUUUUGGACAAUGGGCGAAAGCCUGAUCCAGCCAUGCCGCGUGAGUGAAGAAGGCCUUCGGGUUGUAAAGCUCUUUCAGGUGGAAAGAAAGCGGAUGGGCUAAUACCCUGUUCGGAUGACGGUACCACCAGAAGAAGCACCGGCUAACUACGUGCCAGCAGCCGCGGUAA